RNA transcript from Glycine soja, 2741 nucleotides. It is a transcript of the gene named protein SDA1 homolog, with no coding region annotated. NCBI's taxonomy places the organism in Eukaryota, Viridiplantae, Streptophyta, Magnoliopsida, Fabales, Fabaceae. The transcript is spliced from 16 exons. The record is from RefSeq and is a predicted model, not a curated record.
GGUUUUCAUUCCUUCCCUUGGUGGUGUGGGACAGCGAACAGAGUAGUAUGGAUCCCGACGGCGUGGUCGCGGCGGAGGCGCUUAUGGCGUCGGGUCGGAGUUCGGAGAAGCUGAGCCUUCCAUCACUCCAAUCCAAAAUGAAGUGCGAUCCCGAAGGCUACGAAUCGGAGCUACUGCUUCUCUACAACCAAUUCAAUUCCUCGCUCGAACUCUUUCAGAAACAAGCCGCCAUGAACUUCACCUCCAUCUCCGGCAUCGGCAGCGACCCCACCGUCGCCAAGGACCUCGGCGACAGGGCCAUGUUCCUCGCCCACGUCACUCCUUUCUACCCCAAACACCUCGCCGAUUUCCCCAAAAAACUCGCCGAUUUGCUCCGCUGCGCCGCCCGCACGCUGCCUUCCGGCCUUCGCUGCCACCUCGCUCACGCGCUCAUUCUCUUAUCCAAUCGAAAGAUUGUUGACAUUGGAGAAACGCUGUCGUUGUUCAUGGAGCUUCAAACCCUAGGUGACAGAGUGCUCAAGAAGUUGGCGUUUGAUCAUGUUGUUCAUAGUAUAAGGCGUAUGAACCAAAAGCAUAAGAACGAAGCUAAGAACAGAGCGCUUCAGAAUGUCUUGUUUGACUUGCUUCAGAAAGAGGCUGAAGAGCCGGCCAAGAGGGCACUCGUGACUCUGUGUGAGCUUCACAGGAGAAAAGUGUGGUUUGAUGAGAGAACAGCAAAUGCAAUCUGUACUGCUUCCUUCCAUCCAACAUCUAGGAUUAUGAUAGCAACUUUAUCAUUUCUGCUUGAUUAUGAGAAGAUUCAAGAUGAUGACGACAGUGAUAAUUCAGACAGUGAUGAUGAAAAGACGGAAUCACCUCAAGUUGUCCUUAGCAGGGAGACAGUUUAUAAGGCAAGCCACCAAGGUACAGCAGCAAGCAAAAAGAAAAAGAAAGCAAAACUACAACGUGCAAUACGCAGCAUGAAAAGGCAUCAGCGUGUAUCAUCUGAUAGGAGCAAAAACAGUUAUUAUUCACCACUUAACCAUCUGAAAGAUGCUCAGGGUUUUGCUGAGAAGCUGUUCUCACGUCUUAGGAGUUGUAAUGAACGAUUUGAGGUAAAGAUGAUGAUCUUGAAAUUAAUUGCUCGAACAGUUGGACUUCACCAGUUAAUAUUGCUAGAGUUCUAUUCUUUUCUUCAGAAAUAUAUUCAGCCACAUCAACGAGACAUUACAAAUUUGCUUGCAGCAGUGGUUCAGGCUUGCCAUGAUAUGGUUCCUCCUGAUGCAGUUGAACCCUUGUUCAAACAAAUAGUAAAUCAAUUUGUACAUGACCGUUCACGUCCAGAGGCUAUUACUGUUGGAAUAAAUGCAGUCAGGGAGAUAUGCAUGCGCAUGCCAUUGUUAAUGAAUGAAGACUUGCUACAAGACCUUGCGCUAUAUAAGAAGUCACGUGAGAAGGCAGUUUCAAUAGCAGCUCGAUCUCUGAUUGGGUUAUUCAGAGAGGUUUGCCCCUCACUGCUAGUUAAGAAGGACCGUGGGCGGCCUAUUGACCCUAAGGCAAGACCAAAGGCCUAUGGAGAGCAGAAUGUUGCGACUGACGUUCCUGAUGUUGAGUUAUUGCAGAUGGCUAUUGACAAUGAUGAUGAGCAGGAGAGUGAUCAUUCUGAUGGUUCUGCAUGCAGUGUCUCUGACAAUGACCAGGAAAAUGAUUUGAUGAGUAUAAAUGAUGACGAUGACAAUGAUGAUGAGAACCAGUUAUGCAGUGAUGAUCCUGAAAGUGAUGAUGAAGCCAAAGAUAGUGAUGUUAUAUCAGACGAUGACGACGAGAGAAGUUCUGAUGACGAAGCUGAUGUUAGUGAUGCUGAUGAAGUUAAGGGGGAUGACAUUGAAGACAAUGAACAAGCUGAUGGAGAGGAUAGUGAUGUUUCAGAACAUGAAGAAGAUGGUGAUCUGCAUUCUUUAAGUGAUGAUGGACUUGUGACAAAAAGUACAAUGAAAGACUCAGCAAAAAAGAGGAAGUUUACUGAUUUUAAUGGUCAACUGAUAGCUGCUGAUACAAGUCUCCGGGCUCUGAAGAAAUUAGCUGGGAGACAAAUGGGGGAUGUCAUACCAGAAUCUAACGACGGAAUUCUUUCUAACGAAGACUUCAAGAGGAUCAAAGAACUGAAGGCAAAAAGUGAGGCAAAAAAUGCGUUGGCUCAGCAAGGGCUAGCGAAGUCAGCUGCAACUAAGGUUCCAAGCUCUGGUCAACUAAAUCUAAAGCGAGUGGAUGGUACCAUGCUUGAAGCUCACAUAAGGAAAAAGUUGAACAAGGAUGAAAGGUUGGCAUUGGUUAGAGCAGGAAGGGAGGAAAGAGGAAAAUACCAAGCUCGAACUGCUGUGAAACAGAAUAAGACGGGUGGGUUAAGCAACAGACAAAAGGAACACAAGAAGAAAAUGCCCUUGGCUGCAAAGAGAGAUAAGGUAUCAAGAACUCGGAUAGAGAAAAAGAGGAAAAAUCAGCGAUCUGGCAAACAGUUCCGUGGAAAGAAAGCGUGGAAGCAAUAAAUAUGGACUGAGAUUUUUGUUAACGAAUCCUUUUCAAGCAUUAUUUAUUUAUUAUUAUUGUUGUUCCCAAUCUCAUUUCCGUCCGCAACCGGUAGAUGAUGGUAAUGGUUGUUUCUUUGUUACAAGAAAACUCCCGACAAAUAUUAUUCAAUGUGAAAAAUGAUCAUGUUUAUUACGAUAAUAUAGCAUGUUAAUAUUAGAAUUUGUGCUGUCAAA